GACGAACGCUGGAGGCGUGCUUAACACAUGCAAGUCGAACGAAGAGCGAUGGAAGCUUGCUUCUAUCAAUCUUAGUGGCGAACGGGUGAGUAACGCGUAAUCAACCUGCCCUUCAGAGGGGGACAACAGUUGGAAACGACUGCUAAUACCGCAUACGAUCUAAUCUCGGCAUCGAGGAUAGAUGAAAGGUGGCCUCUACAUGUAAGCUAUCACUGAAGGAGGGGAUUGCGGCUGAUUAGCUAGUUGGGGGGGUAACGGCCCACCAAGGCGAUGAUCAGUAGCCGGUCUGAGAGGAUGAACGGCCACAUGGGGACUGAGACACGGCCCAGACUCCUACGGGAGGCAGCAGUGGGGAAUCUUCCGCAAUGGACGAAAGUCUGACGGAGCAACGCCGCGUGAGUGAUGACGGCCUUCGGGUUGUAAAGCUCUGUUAAUCGGGACGAAAGGCCUUCUUGCGAAUAGUGAGAAGGAUUGACGGUACCGGAAUAGAAAGCCACGGCUAACUACGUG
Molecule: ribosomal RNA, 510 nt
Filed under: uncultured bacterium
Lineage: Bacteria
Description: partial 16S ribosomal RNA
Rfam family: Bacterial small subunit ribosomal RNA
Source: RNAcentral